This is a non-coding RNA of Triticum aestivum (bread wheat), 135 nucleotides long. Lineage: Eukaryota; Viridiplantae; Streptophyta; Magnoliopsida; Poales; Poaceae. The record is from Rfam.
CAAAUACUCCCUCCAUCCCAAAAUUCUUAUCUUAUAUUUAUCUAGAUACGGAUAUAUCUAACAUUAAAAUAUGAAUAGAUACAUUCAUAUGUAGACAAAUUUAAGACAAGAAUUUUGGCUAGGGAAGAGUAUAUA